UACGAAGGGUGCAAGCGUUACUCGGAAUUACUGGGCGUAAAGCGUGCGUAGGUGGUUCGUUAAGUCUGUUGUGAAAGCCCUGGGCUCAACCUUGGAAUGGCAUUGGAAACUGGCGGGCUAGAGGCCGGUAGAGGGUAGUGGAAUUCCCGGUGUAGCAGUGAAAUGCGUAGAUAUCGGGAGGAACAUCCGUGGCGAAGGCGACUGCCUGGACCAGCACUGACACUGAGGCACGAAAGCGUGGGGAGCAAACAGG
This 253-nucleotide ribosomal RNA is filed under the name uncultured bacterium. RNAcentral's name for it is "partial 16S ribosomal RNA". It matches the Rfam family "Bacterial small subunit ribosomal RNA", at positions 524 to 776 of the family's 1533-position model. The record is from RNAcentral.